GCGCUCGUAGCUCAGUUGGUAGAGCAUCUGACUCUUAAUCAGAGGGUCCAGGGUUCGAACCCCUGCGGGCGUA
RNAcentral lists this transfer RNA (73 nucleotides) under Prevotella sp. RNAcentral's name for it is "tRNA-Lys". It matches the Rfam family "tRNA". Rfam says of the family: Transfer RNA (tRNA) molecules are approximately 80 nucleotides in length. Their secondary structure includes four short double-helical elements and three loops (D, anti-codon, and T loops). The record is from RNAcentral. Lineage: Bacteria; Pseudomonadati; Bacteroidota; Bacteroidia; Bacteroidales; Prevotellaceae.